GACGAACGCUGGCGGCGUGCCUAAUACAUGCAAGUAGAACGCACAGUUUAUACCGUAGCUUGCUACACCAUAAACUGUGAGUUGCGAACGGGUGAGUAACGCGUAGGUAACCUGCCUGGUAUCGGGGGAUAACUAUUGGAAACGAUAGCUAAUACCGCAUAAUAUUGAUUAUUGCAUGAUAAUUGAUUGAACGAUUCUAUUUCAUCCCUACCAGCUGGUCCUGCGUUGUAUUAGCUAGUAGGUGAGGUAACGGCUCACCUAGGCGACGAUACAUAGACGACCUGAGAGGGUGGUCGGCCACCCUGGGACUGAGACACGGCCCAGACUCCUACGGGAGGCAGCAGUAGGGAAUCUUCGGCAAUGGACGAAAGUCUGACCGAGCAACGCCGGGUGAGUGAAGAAGGUUUUCGGAUCGUAAAGCUCUGUUGUAAGGGAAGAACGGGUGUGAGAGUGGAAAGUUCACACUGUGACGGUAUCUUACCAGAAAGGGACGGCUAACUACGUG
RNAcentral lists this ribosomal RNA (505 nucleotides) under uncultured bacterium. RNAcentral's name for it is "partial 16S ribosomal RNA". It matches the Rfam family "Bacterial small subunit ribosomal RNA", at positions 28 to 507 of the family's 1533-position model. The record is from RNAcentral.